AUUGAACGCUGGCGGCAGGCCUAACACAUGCAAGUCGAGCGGUAGCACGGAGAGCUUGCUCUCGGGUGACGAGCGGCGGACGGGUGAGUAAUGUCUGGGAAACUGCCUGAUGGAGGGGGAUAACUACUGGAAACGGUAGCUAAUACCGCAUAACGUCGCAAGACCAAAGAGGGGGACCUUCGGGCCUCUUGCCAUCAGAUGUGCCCAGAUGGGAUUAGCUAGUAGGUGGGGUAACGGCUCACCUAGGCGACGAUCCCUAGCUGGUCUGAGAGGAUGACCAACCACACUGGAACCGAGACACGGUCCAGACUCCUACGGGAGGCAGCAGUGGGGAAUAUUGCACAAUGGGCUCAAGCCUGAUGCAGCCAUGCCGCGUGUAUGAAGAAGGCCUUCGGGUUGUAAAGUACUUUCAGCGGGGAGGAAGGUGUUGAGGUUAAUAACCUCAGCAAUUGACGUUACCCGCAGAAGAAGCACCGGCUAACUCCGUGCCAGCCGCCGCCGUAA
Molecule: ribosomal RNA, 504 nt
Filed under: uncultured bacterium
Lineage: Bacteria
Description: partial 16S ribosomal RNA
Rfam family: Bacterial small subunit ribosomal RNA
Source: RNAcentral